Rosa chinensis is the source of this 767-nucleotide long non-coding RNA. RefSeq lists it as uncharacterized. Lineage: Eukaryota; Viridiplantae; Streptophyta; Magnoliopsida; Rosales; Rosaceae. The transcript is spliced from 5 exons. The record is from RefSeq and is a predicted model, not a curated record.
CAACUCUCUCUCUGCCCUACUUUUUCUCCAUCUCUCAAGUGUUGAAGAGAGCAGCAAUCUCUUAAUCACUAACCAUCCUUUAAGAGUUCGGCUCAUCUCCAUCUCCAUCAAAAUGGCGAGAAUUUUAUACCCAUAUGGAAUGAAAUCUCAGACUUGCACAAGAGGUUAUCUCUCUUGAUGGCAGAUCUGAAUUUUGGAAUGUUAUGCCUUCAUCAGAGUUGGUUCGAUUACCAAAAUGUUUCCUUCAUUAUACGCCUUUGCCUGAAGCAGGGUUUAUUUUCCUUACUCCAACUGCCCAUGGCUUUAUUACAUAUGAGCACUAAUGAUCUCAGAAAGGUAUUGAAUAGGUAUGCAUGCAAAUCAGGUAAGAAGGGAUAUGAGGCUUUUACAAUCAACUAAGUUGGAGGAGAUUUUGGGCUGCUGUUUCCAAAGUAUCACUGGAAAGAGACAAAGCAAAAUGUGCAUCUAUUAGAAGUUUGAAGAGAAGAAAAUGUGAAAGUGGAAAGUAUAAUUCAUGGAACGACUUAUGGGAGUUGCACGUCUUCUAUCACAGGUGUUUCUUGCUUUAUCAUAUGAAUUCGGUUUUAUCUUCUUUAAUUGCAGUUGUUGUAUGGUUAACAUUGUAUUAUUGACUAUCAUAUUCACAUAAGUAAUGUUAACUGCUGUCUGUUUGAUUCAACUGCUUCAACCUUUCAAGUUUCUAAUCUGCACUUGCAGAAUAAUUUAACGUUCUUUCACCAUUAUAAUUGACCUGAAUGGUAAUUUGG